RNAcentral lists this ribosomal RNA (504 nucleotides) under uncultured bacterium. RNAcentral describes it as "partial 16S ribosomal RNA". It matches the Rfam family "Bacterial small subunit ribosomal RNA", at positions 29 to 523 of the family's 1533-position model. The record is from RNAcentral.
AUUGAACGCUGGCGGCAGGCCUAACACAUGCAAGUCGGACGGUAGCACAGAGAGCUUGCUCUCGGGUGACGAGUGGCGGACGGGUGAGUAAUGUCUGGGGAUCUGCCCGAUAGAGGGGGAUAACCACUGGAAACGGUGGCUAAUACCGCAUAACGUCGCAAGACCAAAGAGGGGGACCUUCGGGCCUCUCACUAUCGGAUGAACCCAGAUGGGAUUAGCUAGUAGGCGGGGUAAUGGCCCACCUAGGCGACGAUCCCUAGCUGGUCUGAGAGGAUGACCAGCCACACUGGAACUGAGACACGGUCCAGACUCCUACGGGAGGCAGCAGUGGGGAAUAUUGCACAAUGGGCGCAAGCCUGAUGCAGCCAUGCCGCGUGUAUGAAGAAGGCCUUCGGGUUGUAAAGUACUUUCAGCGGGGAGGAAGGCGGUGAAGUUAAUAACUUCACCGAUUGACGUUACCCGCAGAAGAAGCACCGGCUAACUCCGUGCCAGCAGCCGCCGCCG